GCUGGAACCACGGAGCACCAGCUCUUUGACUGUCCCGGUGCAGCCGGAGAGCCUGAAUAUGGGUGAUUCCGGGUCCCGGUGAGAGACUCAGAGGCUUGAAGACGGAGGCCUACCUAGAAGGGGAGUGGGGCCGAUGGGCGCUGCUUUGCUUACUGCCCGACCAAUGCGACAUAACAGACGUAAUAGACGUAAUGUAUAUAUAUAAGUAAGUAAUAUAGGUGUUCCUGUGCCCUAACCAUGAACGGCUGUCUAUGUCUAUGCUAUACUGGAGUUUCAUUUUAAGCUUAAGUCUCAUACUCCCCAGUAUUAGGGAAUGCCAGUGGUUUAUCACUCUGAAGCAACUCAGUGGGUCACAUAUGGUGGCAGUAUACAGUUAUCUUCUGAGAUUCUAAUCCUAAAUCAUAUAGCAUACUGCCCUAGAUUAAAUAACCUGAUCUCUUGAUAUUUUCCUCCUGUUGUUUUCCAUGUCUAGCUAGCCUAUCACUGUACCUCUACGCAUGCAUACCUACAGCUAGGACAUGAAGGCCUGAC
This is a non-coding RNA of Pelobates cultripes (western spadefoot toad), 531 nucleotides long. NCBI's taxonomy places the organism in Eukaryota, Metazoa, Chordata, Amphibia, Anura, Pelobatidae. The record is from the annotation of a GenBank genome assembly.